UACGUAGGGUGCAAGCGUUAAUCGGAAUUACUGGGCGUAAAGCGUGCGCAGGCGGUUUUGUAAGCCAGAUGUGAAAGCCCCGGGCUCAACCUGGGAACUGCGUUUGAUACUGCAUUGCUAGAGAAUGAUAGAGGUGGGUGGAACUGAUGGUGGAGCGGUGAAAUGCGUUGAUAUCAUCAGGAACACCAGUGGCGAAGGCGACCCACUGGGUCAUUUCUGACGCUGAGGUACGAAAGCUAGGGUAGCGAACGGGAUUAGAAACCCUGGUAGU
This 271-nucleotide ribosomal RNA is filed under the name uncultured bacterium. RNAcentral describes it as "partial 16S ribosomal RNA". It matches the Rfam family "Bacterial small subunit ribosomal RNA", at positions 524 to 794 of the family's 1533-position model. The record is from RNAcentral.